GACGAACGCUGGCGGCAUGCCUAACACAUGCAAGUCGAACGGAGAUUAUUUCGGUAAUCUUAGUGGCGAACGGGUGAGUAACGCGUGGGCAACCUGCCCUCUAGAUGGGGACAACAUCCCGAAAGGGGUGCUAAUACCGAAUGUGACAGCAAUCUCGCAUGAGGAUGCUGGGAAAGAUGUCCUCUAUUUAUAAGCUAUCGCUAGAGGAUGGGCCUGCGUCUGAUUAGCUAGUUGGUGGGGUAACGGCCUACCAAGGCGAUGAUCAGUAGCCGGUCUGAGAGGAUGGACGGCCACAUUGGGACUGGGGCACGGCCCAGGAUCCUACGGGAGGGAGCAGGGGGGAAUCUUCCGGAAUGGGGGAAAGCCUGACGGAGGAAUGCCGCGUGAGUGAUGAAGGAAUUCGUUCCGUAAAGCUCUUUUGUUUAUGACGAAUGUGCAGAUUGUGAACAAUGGUCUGUAAUGACGGUAGUAAACGAAUAAGCCACGGCUAACUACGUG
This 498-nucleotide ribosomal RNA is filed under the name uncultured bacterium. Its description in RNAcentral is "partial 16S ribosomal RNA". It matches the Rfam family "Bacterial small subunit ribosomal RNA", at positions 28 to 507 of the family's 1533-position model. The record is from RNAcentral.